GGCGGCGUGCUUAACACAUGCAAGUUGAACGAAGAGCGAUGGAAGCUUGCUUCUAUCAAUCUUAGUGGCGAACGGGUGAGUAACGCGUAAUCAACCUGCCCUUCAGAGGGGGACAACAGUUGGAAACGACUGCUAAUACCGCAUACGAUCUGACCUCGGCAUCGAGGAUAGAUGAAAGGUGGCCUCUACAUGUAAGCUAUCACUGAAGGAGGGGAUUGCGUCUGAUUAGCUAGUUGGAGGGGUAACGGCCCACCAAGGCGAUGAUCAGUAGCCGGUCUGAGAGGAUGAACGGCCACAUUGGGACUGAGACACGGCCCAGACUCCUACGGGAGGCAGCAGUGGGGAAUCUUCCGCAAUGGACGAAAGUCUGACGGAGCAACGCCGCGUGAGUGAUGACGGCCUUCGGGUUGUAAAGCUCUGUUAAUCGGGACGAAAGGCCUUCUUGCGAAUAGUGAGAAGGA
Molecule: ribosomal RNA, 461 nt
Filed under: Veillonella parvula
Lineage: Bacteria; Bacillati; Bacillota; Negativicutes; Veillonellales; Veillonellaceae
Description: bacterial SSU rRNA
Rfam family: Bacterial small subunit ribosomal RNA
Source: RNAcentral